GCUCUAGUAGCUCACUAGGCAGAGCACUUGCAUGGUAAGCAAGAGGCAGGUGGUUCGAAUCCACUCUGGAGCACCA
This 76-nucleotide transfer RNA is filed under the name Fusobacterium mortiferum. RNAcentral describes it as "tRNA-Thr". It matches the Rfam family "tRNA". From Rfam's summary of the family: Transfer RNA (tRNA) molecules are approximately 80 nucleotides in length. Their secondary structure includes four short double-helical elements and three loops (D, anti-codon, and T loops). The record is from RNAcentral. Lineage: Bacteria; Fusobacteriati; Fusobacteriota; Fusobacteriia; Fusobacteriales; Fusobacteriaceae.